UCACAACCUCUUUGAGUGAGCU
RNAcentral lists this microRNA (22 nucleotides) under Glossina pallidipes. Its description in RNAcentral is "Gpa-Mir-67-P13-v1_3p (mature (guide))". Lineage: Eukaryota; Metazoa; Arthropoda; Insecta; Diptera; Glossinidae. The record is from RNAcentral. RNAcentral also lists the same sequence under 2 other names.